RNAcentral lists this ribosomal RNA (551 nucleotides) under uncultured Glomeromycotina. RNAcentral's name for it is "SSU rRNA". It matches the Rfam family "Eukaryotic small subunit ribosomal RNA", at positions 548 to 1098 of the family's 1831-position model. Lineage: Eukaryota; Fungi; Glomeromycota. The record is from RNAcentral.
UUGGAGGGCAAGUCUGGUGCCAGCAGCCGCGGUAAUUCCAGCUCCAAUAGCGUAUAUUAAAGUUGUUGCAGUUAAAAAGCUCGUAGUUGAAUUUCGGGAUUCAUCCGUUGGUCGGGCUUCACGGUCCGUACUGGUGUGAUGGGUUCCUACCCUCUGAAUAACCGGCAUGCCAUUAAUUUGGUGCGCCGGGGAAGCAGAACUAUUACCUUGAAAAAAUUAGAGUGCUUAAAGCAGGCAAGUGCCUGAAUAGGUUAGCAUGGAAUAAUAAAAUAGGACGGCAUGGUUCUAUUUUGUUGGUUUCUAGGAUCACCGUAAUGAUUAAUAGGGAUAGUUGGGGGCAUUAGUAUUCAAUUGUCAGAGGUGAAAUUCUUGGAUUUAUUGAAGACUAACUUCUGCGAAAGCAUUUGCCAAGGAUGUUUUCAUUAAUCAAGAACGAAAGUUAGGGGAUCGAAGACGAUCAGAUACCGUCGUAGUCUUAACCAUAAACUAUGCCGACUAGGGAUCGGACGAUGUUAAUUUUUUAAUGACUCGUUCGGCGCCUUACGGGAAAC